CACAAAACUAAUCUGCAUGACAGACCUCGUCUUGAAGCAGGAAUUUAAUAUGUCAUUUAUCACAACUCAACACAUUGGAACAAUCCUUCUAAUCAAUUUCGGAAUUAUUAACUCUAAUAUUGAUGAUGUGGGAAUAAUGGUCACAUUUGCAAAUACGACAAGUUUAAGGCGAGCUCGGCAAUUUAAUUUACCUGGCGGUGGAAAUUUGAAUUGUUAUUAUUGCAAUGUGUACAUCGAUGGGAAAUAUCAAGCCAACAGCGGUAUCGGAUAUCCGCCAAGUGGUUGGACUCCAUCUGGCGGCUGGUAUCCCCAAAGCGGCGGGAAUCAACCAAAUGGCUGGUAUCCACCAAGUGACUGGACUCCAUCUGGCGGCUGGAAUCCUGGAAUUGCUUACGACCCGAACAACGAACCUUACUACCCUUCAGAUGGACCUGAUCAACCAGAAUACGCCCCCCAGAAUGGCGGCUUUUGCAAAAAAAUGUGUCCAAGGGCUUUCGUCUGUGGUCGAUGGAAAUACAAGUACAGCGAUUGCAAGCAGACGCCGAAAUGUCCAGUCUGUGCCACGCGCUGCAACUUGAGCUCAAAUGCACCGGGAGGAGUAUGUAGGGAACGCUACACAGCUCCACCACGUGACCCUACUGAUUCAAUUUGGAAUGGAUAAAAAACUAUAAGCACAAUGUCCACAAAUUUGUAAGCUAUCGGGUGUUAAUUUGGUCAACUCCUUGUAAAAAUUGUUGCCUGCGUUAAUAUCAGAUUUAAUUUACGUACUUACUCGUUACGAAAUUUUCAAGACUUGCAUUGAUGCAAAUGAUAGGUUUAAAACUGGUAUUAAUAAGCCCCGAAAAUCAUGCAAGUAUAAAUUCUUAAAAAAUAUAAAUGGUACCGGUUUGAUGAAGAGGUAAGAUCUUAGGAUUACAAAUUGAGGUCAGCUUUGAGUUAUGUAUCUAUAUUUAUGUUAAUUGUAUGUAAAGAUGUAAACAUAAGGUAUGUACGAAUGCAAAUAUUAAGUUAUGUGGGAUCAAAAUCUUGUAUUUAUAUGUAUACAUAUUUAUGAAUUUAUUUUUUCAUUGUUUCUCCACUGCAUCAGAAAUGCAUGCAUGCAUUUAUUUACUCUCUCUACCAGACAAAAUGAAAAAACCGGAUUUUGCUAUAAAAAAAUAUGUAAUACUGAUAAAAUGGCACAUCCCAAUCGGUCAAUUGUAUUUUUUGGAACGGUUAAAAUUAAUGGCUAAUGUAAAGUUGAUCAAGUGCACCCAACAUCCAUAUAUGUAAAUAUGUACCUGCACUGUACAGGCUGCACAUCUUCAACCUCAAAUUUACAGUUGAGAUUUCACGUCUCGUUGAUCUAGUCUGCACAAAACUAAUCUGAAUGACAGACAUCAUCUUGAAGCAGGAAUGAAACAUGUCAUUUAUCACAGUAAGUUAUCUUGAAGUAUAAAUUUCUAUCAAUAUUGUUGCUAAUUUGAUUUUUAAACUAAUUGUAAGAUUCAACACAUUGGAGCUAUCCUUCUAAUUAAUUUCGGAAUUAUUACCUCUAAUAUUGACGAUGUGGGAAUAAUAGCAUCGAACGCAACAUUUGCAAAUACGACAAGUUUGAGACGAGCUCGGCAAUUUAAUUUACCUGGGGGUGGAAGUUUGAAUUGCUAUUACUGCAAUGUGUACAUCGACGGGAAAUAUCAAGCCAACAGCGGUAUCGGAUAUCCACCAAGCGGCGGGAAUCCAUCUGACGGCUGGUACCCACCCAGCGGCGGGAAUCAAGCAAAUGAGUGGUAUCCACCAAGUGGUUGGCCAUCUGGCGGCGGGAAUCCUGGAAUUUCUAGCAACCCGGACGACAAUGGUGCUUCUUCGGAAGGACCUGGCGAACCAGAGCACGCACCCCAGAAUGGUGGUGGCUUCUGCAAAAAAAGGUGUCCAGGGGCUUCAUAUUGUGAUCGGUAUAAAUACAAGUACCGAAAUUGCAAGGAGACGCCGAGAUGUCCAGUGUGCGCCACGUUCUGCUCUUUCCGUUUAAAUGCACAGGGAGGAGUAUGCAGGGAACGCCACACAGCCCCAUCACGUGACCCAACUAUGUCAAUAUGGCAAGGAUAAAAUGUCCAGCCCACCAAUAUGCAAACUAUUAGUUGUUAAGUUUUUCAACUCCUUAUAAAAAUUGAUUCCG
RNA transcript from Folsomia candida, 2158 nucleotides. RefSeq lists it as uncharacterized. NCBI's taxonomy places the organism in Eukaryota, Metazoa, Arthropoda, Collembola, Entomobryomorpha, Isotomidae. The record is from RefSeq and is a predicted model, not a curated record. The transcript has 6 exons.